RNAcentral lists this ribosomal RNA (716 nucleotides) under uncultured Bacilli bacterium. RNAcentral describes it as "bacterial SSU rRNA". It matches the Rfam family "Bacterial small subunit ribosomal RNA", at positions 66 to 752 of the family's 1533-position model. The record is from RNAcentral. Lineage: Bacteria; Bacillati; Bacillota; Bacilli.
ACGCUUCUUUCCUCCCGAGUGCUUGCACUCAAUUGGAAAGAGGAGUGGCGGACGGGUGAGUAACACGUGGGUAACCUACCCAUCAGAGGGGGAUAACACUAUGGAAACAGGUGCUAAUACCGCAUAACAGUUUAUGCCGCAUGGCAUAAGAGUGAAAGGUGCUUUCGGGUGUCGCUGAUGGAUGGACCCGCGGUGCAUUAGCUAGUUGGUGAGGUAACGGCUCACCAAGGCCACGAUGCAUAGCCGACCUGAGAGGGUGAUCGGCCACACUGGGACUGAGACACGGCCCAAACUCCUACGGGAGGCAGCAGUAGGGAAUCUUCGGCAAUGGACGAAAGUCUGACCGAGCAACGCCGCGUGAGUGAAGAAGGUUUUCGGAUCGUAAAACUCUGUUGUUAGAGAAGAACAAGGAUGAGAGUAACUGUUCAUCCCUUGACGGUAUCUAACCAGAAAGCCACGGCUAACUACGUGCCAGCAGCCGCGGUAAUACGUAGGUGGCAAGCGUUGUCCGGAUUUAUUGGGCGUAAAGCGAGCGCAGGCGGUUUCUUAAGUCUGAUGUGAAAGCCCCCGGCUCAACCGGGGAGGGUCAUUGGAAACUGGGAGACUUGAGUGCAGAAGAGGAGAGUGGAAUUCCAUGUGUAGCGGUGAAAUGCGUAGAUAUAUGGAGGAACACCAGUGGCGAAGGCGGCUCUCUGGUCUGUAACUGACGCUGAGGC